GCCAGCAGCCAUAUCACUCUGCAAAUCACAACUGGCAACCCACUGAAGCUAAGCGGGUGUGAGCCUGGUCAGUACCUGGAUGUGAAACCUGCUGGGAAAAACUAAGGUUGCUGCUGAAA
This 119-nucleotide ribosomal RNA is filed under the name Lepisosteus oculatus (spotted gar). Lineage: Eukaryota; Metazoa; Chordata; Actinopteri; Semionotiformes; Lepisosteidae. The record is from RNAcentral.